AUGGAUUUAAACCCAUCUAUGUUAUGUUGGAACAUGCGAGGGCUUAACAACCCUGCGAAAAGGAAGGCGGUCAGGGAGUUCAUCGCUUCGGUGAAAUGUAACAUAGUAUGUCUACAGGAGACCAAAAUGGAUGUAUUUGACUCGUACCUUGUUAUGCAAUGUAUCGACCAAUAUUUUGAUGGGUUUUCUUACCUCUCGUCGACUGAGACACGUGGUGGCAUCCUACUCGUGUCGGAUUCAACUAGGUUUACGGUGGAAAACGUGGCCUUCGACACACAUUGUUUAACCGGACUUGUGUGCAACAAAGACGAGCAACACUGGUGGAUCUCUGUGGUGUAUGGCCCUCAAGGGGAUGAUGAUAAGAUUGAAUUCCUGGAGGAACUCAAGAGGAUAAGAGGGGUCUGCCAUGGCCAAUGGAUGCUCUUGGGUGACUUUAAUAUGAUCCUUCGUGCUUCGGAGAAGAAUAAUGCCAAUGUUAAUCGGCGUAUUAUGAAAAAGUUCAAGGCCUUUGUGGAUGAGAUGGAGCUCAAGGAGCUAUAUAUGCACGAGAGGCGAUUCACUUGGACUAACGAACGGGACUGUCCGACUCUAACAAAGAUCGACAGGGUGCUUGUUUCGGUUGACUGGGACUUGGCAAAAGCGGGUUGCUUACUGCAAGCGCUUGCAACUGGCGUGUCGGACCAUGCCCGCUGCACUUGUGCACCAACGUGA
Molecule: ribosomal RNA, 711 nt
Filed under: Triticum aestivum (bread wheat)
Lineage: Eukaryota; Viridiplantae; Streptophyta; Magnoliopsida; Poales; Poaceae
Description: partial small subunit ribosomal RNA
Source: RNAcentral